UGCAGUCGAGCGAUGGAUUAAGAGCUUGCUCUUAUGAAGUUAGCGGCGGAAGGGUGAGUAACACGUGGGUAACCUACCCAUAAGACUGGGAUAACUCCGGGAAACCGGGGCUAAUACCGGAUAAUAUUUUGAACUGCAUAGUUCGAAAUUGAAAGGCGGCUUCGGCUGUCACUUAUGGAUGGACCCGCGUCGCAUUAGCUAGUUGGUGAGGUAACGGCUCACCAAGGCGACGAUGCGUAGCCGACCUGAGAGGGUGAUCGGCCACACUGGGACUGAGACACGGCCCAGACUCCUACGGNAGGCAGCAGUAGGGAAUCUUCCGCAAUGGACGAAAGUCUGACGGAGCAACGCCGCGUGAGUGAUGAAGGCUUUCGGGUCGUAAAACUCUGUUGUUAGGGAAGAACAAGUGCUAGUUGAAUAAGCUGGCACCUUGACGGUACCUAACCAGAAAGCCACGGCUAACUACGUGCCAGCAGCCGCGGUAAUACGUAGGUGGCAAGCGUUAUCCGGAAUUAUUGGGCGUAAAGCGCGCGCAGGUGGUUUCUUAAGUCUGAUGUGAAAGCCCACGGCUCUACCGUGGAGGGUCAUUGGAAACUGGGAGACUUGAGUGCAGAAGAGGAAAGUGGAAUUCCAUGUGUAGCGGUGAAAUGCGUAGAGAU
This 659-nucleotide ribosomal RNA is filed under the name Bacillus sp. AT-MI-61. Its description in RNAcentral is "bacterial SSU rRNA". It matches the Rfam family "Bacterial small subunit ribosomal RNA", at positions 56 to 697 of the family's 1533-position model. The record is from RNAcentral. Lineage: Bacteria; Bacillati; Bacillota; Bacilli; Caryophanales; Bacillaceae.